This 273-nucleotide ribosomal RNA is filed under the name uncultured bacterium. RNAcentral's name for it is "partial 16S ribosomal RNA". It matches the Rfam family "Bacterial small subunit ribosomal RNA", at positions 524 to 796 of the family's 1533-position model. The record is from RNAcentral.
UACGGAGGGUGCGAGCGUUAUCCGGAAUCACUGGGCGUAAAGGGCGCGUAGGUGGUUUGUUAAGUCCGUUGUCAAAGUCCGGGGCUCAACCCCGGGGUGGCAGUGGGUACUGGCAGGCUGGACGGCUGGAGAGGCGAGUGGAAUUACCAGUGUAGCGGUGGAAUGCGUAGAUACUGGUAGGAACACCCAUGGCGAAGGCAGCUCGCUGGACAGCUCGUGACGCUGAGGCGCGAAAGUGUGGGGAGCAAACCGGAUUAGAAACCCCUGUAGUCC